AGAGUGAACGCUGGCGGCAGGCCUAACACAUGCAAGUCGAGCGGCAGCGCGGGGGCAACCCUGGCGGCGAGCGGCGGACGGGUGAGGAAUGCAUCGGAAUCUACCUUGUUGUGGGGGAUAACGUAGGGAAACUUACGCUAAUACCGCAUACGACCUACGGGUGAAAGAGGGGGACCUUCGGGCCUCUCGCGAUAAGAUGAGCCGAUGCCGGAUUAGCUAGUUGGAGGGGUAAAGGCCCACCAAGGCGACGAUCCGUAGCUGGUCUGAGAGGAUGAUCAGCCACACUGGAACUGAGACACGGUCCAGACUCCUACGGGAGGCAGCAGUGGGGAAUAUUGGACAAUGGGCGCAAGCCUGAUCCAGCCAUGCCGCGUGUGUGAAGAAGGCCUUGGGUUGUAAAGCACUUUUGUUGGGGAAGAAACCGACCGGGUUAAUACUUCGGUUGAAUGACGGUACCAAAGAAUAAGCACCGGCUAACUUCGUGCCAGCAGCCGCGGU
RNAcentral lists this ribosomal RNA (498 nucleotides) under uncultured bacterium. Its description in RNAcentral is "SSU rRNA". It matches the Rfam family "Bacterial small subunit ribosomal RNA", at positions 26 to 521 of the family's 1533-position model. The record is from RNAcentral.